This 145-nucleotide small nucleolar RNA is filed under the name Panthera tigris altaica (Amur tiger). The record is from RNAcentral. Lineage: Eukaryota; Metazoa; Chordata; Mammalia; Carnivora; Felidae.
UCUGCACAUUGUUGGAGCUUGGAAUUGAGGCCUCUGGCUGGCCGAUGAGCUCACAAGUGUAGGCUGUGUGCUAUAAGUCUUUUACUAACACCACAAGGAUCUCUGGCCCGGUGAAUGGAGUUCAAUAGUAAUUCUUGCUACAAGU